RNAcentral lists this long non-coding RNA (231 nucleotides) under Manacus vitellinus (golden-collared manakin). Its description in RNAcentral is "lncRNA (ENSMVIG00005016079.1)". The record is from RNAcentral. Lineage: Eukaryota; Metazoa; Chordata; Aves; Passeriformes; Pipridae.
CUAGCAACACCCAAGAGUACGCCUGACUGUAUUGGAGAUAAAACACAAACUUUACAAUUCGGAGAAAUGAGUAGUGAAUAUAUGCAUGGUUGCCUGCUGAUCACUAAGACAGCUCUAAGAAUCCCGAAGCACUCUGAAGUUCUUGGAACAUGGAUGCCCUUCCUUCACUGUAGGUUUUCCCUCACUCAAGUGGCAAUGCUCACUUUUCUACCACUUGGAUUUCUUCCCUGA